GCUCUCUGAUGGCGAGUGGCGAACGGGUGAGUAUAAUGUGGGAGUCUGCCUUUUGGUUCGGAAUAACACGAGGAAACUUGUGCUAAUACCGGAUAAGCCCUUACGGGGAAAGUUUUAAUGCCAAAAGAUGAGCCCGCAUUUGAUUAGCUAGUUGGUGGGGGAAAAGCUCACCAAGGCGAUAAUCAAUAGCUGAUUUGAGAGGAUGAUCAGCCACACUGGGACUGAGACACGGCCCAGACUCC
RNAcentral lists this ribosomal RNA (242 nucleotides) under uncultured bacterium. Its description in RNAcentral is "partial 16S ribosomal RNA". It matches the Rfam family "Bacterial small subunit ribosomal RNA", at positions 80 to 339 of the family's 1533-position model. The record is from RNAcentral.